ACGAACGCUGGCGGCGUGCUUAACCCAUGCAAGUCGAACGGUGAAGCGCCUUCCUUUUUGGUGGGUGUGGAUGAGUGGCGAACGGGUGAGUAACACGUGAGUAACCUGCCCCCUUCUUCUGGAUAACCGCAUGAAAGUGUGGCUAAUACGGGAUAUUCUGGGUCUGUCGCAUGAUGGGUCUGGGAAAGAUAUUGUUUCGGUGGGGGAUGGGCUCGCGGCCUAUCAGCUUGUUGGUGGGGUGAUGGCCUACCAAGGCGGUGACGGGUAGCCGGCCUGAGAGGGUGGACGGUCACACUGGGACUGAGACACGGCCCAGACUCCUACGGGAGGCAGCAGGGGGGAAUAUUGCACAAUGGGCGCAAGCCUGAUGCAGCGACGCCGCGUGAGGGAUGGAGGCCUUCGGGUUGUGAACCUCUUUCGCCAGUGAAGCAGGCCUGCCUCGUUUGUGGGUGGGUUGACGGUAGCUGGAUAAGAAGCGCCGGCUAACUACGUG
RNAcentral lists this ribosomal RNA (493 nucleotides) under uncultured bacterium. RNAcentral describes it as "partial 16S ribosomal RNA". It matches the Rfam family "Bacterial small subunit ribosomal RNA", at positions 29 to 507 of the family's 1533-position model. The record is from RNAcentral.